This 322-nucleotide ribosomal RNA is filed under the name uncultured soil bacterium. RNAcentral's name for it is "bacterial SSU rRNA". It matches the Rfam family "Bacterial small subunit ribosomal RNA", at positions 26 to 347 of the family's 1533-position model. The record is from RNAcentral.
AGAUUGAACGCUAGCGGGAUGCUUUACACAUGCAAGUCGAACGGCAGCGCGGACUUCGGUCUGGCGGCGAGUGGCGAACGGGUGAGUAAUAUAUCGGAACGUGCCCAGUAGCGGGGGAUAACUACGCGAAAGCGUGGCUAAUACCGCAUACGCCCUACGGGGGAAAGGGGGGGAGUUCUUCGGAACCUCUCACUAUUGGAGCGGCCGAUAUCAGAUUAGCUAGUUGGUGAGGUAAAGGCUCACCAAGGCCGCGAUCUGUAGCUGGUUUGAGAGGACGACCAGCCACACUGGGACUGAGACACGGCCCAGACUCCUACGGGAG